AGAGAGAGAGAGAGAGCAAUAAUAGAGAUAGUCAGAGGAGGAGGAGAAGAGGGUAUAGAGACGGGAUGUUUAAGGAUCUUUCUUGGUUCUUCUGAGACAGAUUUGCUUCAAACUGAGAUUGAAAGGUUUUGUUGGUAUGUUGGAUUUCCAUUGUUUAUGUUGCCCUUUGUCUCUUUUGCUUGCACAAAAAUUUAUCACGAGUUUUUGCAUAAAACAUGGUUUUGGUUUCGCUGUGGAGUUCUUGUUGAAAUUUUCUAUGUAAAGCUGUUUUCUACCUGUGGAUUUCCACCCAUGAAUUAAUUCUUUUUUUUUUUCCCAGCGUUCUUCCUUUUUGGUGUCAGUUCUUGGAGUUUGUCUUGAUAUUUUCUCUGCAAAGUUAUUUUCUCUGCAAAGUUAUUUUCUUCAUGUGGAUUUCUCCCAUGAUAAAUUAUUUUCUGCUAAUGGAUUAUUUCAAGCAUGAGAAAAAAAUUAUGGUUGUGGAGUUUGAAAACAGAUGUUACAACAGGAAAAAAAAAAUUUUCAUCUUCUGGGUUUUUACUCUUUCCUCUUCGUGUUCUGCUUGUGUUUCUCUGUCACUAUGUUGUCUCUUAUGUUCUUAUUACUUCUCUAUGCAGUAUACAAAGGUUUUUUUUUCCUAUGCUUUUCCCUUUCCUUUAAAGCAUGCAUUUUUUAUUAUUGUUAUUUAAUAUUAUAGUUCCAAAUUUAGGUCAAAAAGGCUAAUUUCUGGUUCUGAAUGUUCUGGUUACAGUGACUUCCUUUCGUUAAAUGGAUUUCCUUUUAUGGUUCAUGAGACAAAAAUUUUCUCCCUUUUGUUUGAGCUAUUUUGUGGGUUUUACUUAGAUCUGCAACUUGUUAUGGCUGCUUGGAUUCUGUACUUUUUGGACUUUAUCUUUCUCCCUCUUCUUCUUCUUCUUGUGCUUAAAUAUUGAGGAAUGAAAAUUCUUUUGGCACUUGGUUUAUCUUCUAGUGUUAGAUACAAUGAUUGUGAAGAAGA
Molecule: unclassified non-coding RNA, 994 nt
Filed under: Hevea brasiliensis (rubber tree)
Lineage: Eukaryota; Viridiplantae; Streptophyta; Magnoliopsida; Malpighiales; Euphorbiaceae
Source: RNAcentral